AGGUCCCUUCGAACUCUAUUAUUCUGUGUAGAAGUGGUGAUAACCUCAGACCUUUGUGCAAAGAUGGUAUGGGUGAAAGGGAAGGCAGAGACGACCUGGUGGAAAAUAACUUCGUUCUAAAACUAGGAUGCACAUUUUUUUUUUAUUUUGAGAGCUUGCUCAUAGUCACCACCUCCACUAAGAAAAACCAGAAAAAAGCAAAAAUCCUGGAGUGUUCUUGGCCAGGAUAAAGAAAAAACUAAAAAAAAAAAAACCAAAACUAAAUAAAGUUAUUUUAACUGACAUUUAAUAAAAUUAAAUGGAUGAAGUAAUGGAGCCUAAUUGUGCAAUGGAGUUUCUGGAAGUGCUUUAAAGUAAGGGUCCCCAACUUUGGCAACUUUAAGACUUGCGGACUUCAACUCCCAGAAUUCCCCAGCCAGCAAUGUUUUUAAACCAUUCACCGUGGCUGGCUGGAGAAUUCUGGGAAUUAAGUCCACAAGUUUUAAAGGGGCCAAGGUUGGGAACCUCUGCUUUAAAAUAUGCUCCCAGGUGUGAGACAACACAUAAUUGGCCCUCCUAUGACAUGGGAAGCUUGCCUGCAUUAUGACAGUUCAGCUUCCUGAACUGUCCUUGGUUUAAGGCAGUGUUUAUCAACCUUGACAGCUUGAAGAUGUGUGGAGCUCAAUUCCCAGAAUUCCCAGCCAGCCAUGGUGAAUGCUUUAAAUCCAUGAAGUUUAAUUAAAAUGAAUUCAUCUUUAGAGCUGUGAGAGAGGAACUGGCCCAAGCUCACCGAGAUGGCUUUGUAUCUAAAGCAAGACUGGAAAUCGUGAUGAUCUGAUCUCUAGCCUACUGCCUUAACCACUACACCACACUUGCUCGCUGAAAGUAAUAAGCCAGCAAUAAGCCGGCUGCAGAAA
Long non-coding RNA from Crotalus tigris (Tiger rattlesnake), 896 nucleotides. RefSeq lists it as uncharacterized. The record is from RefSeq and is a predicted model, not a curated record. The transcript is spliced from 2 exons. Lineage: Eukaryota; Metazoa; Chordata; Lepidosauria; Squamata; Viperidae.